Molecule: small RNA, 89 nt
Filed under: Marmota monax (woodchuck)
Lineage: Eukaryota; Metazoa; Chordata; Mammalia; Rodentia; Sciuridae
Source: RNAcentral
GCCGGGCAAAGUGAGGUAUGCCUGUAAUCCCAGCAGCUCAGGAGGCUGAGGCAGGAGGAUCGCAAGCUGGAGGCCAGCCUCAGCCACUU